This 505-nucleotide ribosomal RNA is filed under the name uncultured bacterium. RNAcentral describes it as "partial 16S ribosomal RNA". It matches the Rfam family "Bacterial small subunit ribosomal RNA", at positions 28 to 507 of the family's 1533-position model. The record is from RNAcentral.
GACGAACGCUGGCGGCGUGCCUAAUACAUGCAAGUAGAACGCACGGUUUAUACCGUAGCUUGCUCCACCAUAGACUGUGAGUUGCGAACGGGUGAGUAACGCGUAGGUAACCUGCCUGGUAGCGGGGGAUAACUAUUGGAAACGAUAGCUAAUACCGCAUAAUAUUAAUUAUUGCAUGAUAAUUAAUUGAAAGGUGCAAUUGCACCACUACCAGAUGGACCUGCGUUGUAUUAGCUAGUAGGUGAGGUAACGGCUCACCUAGGCGACGAUACAUAGCCGACCUGAGAGGGUGAGCGGCCACGCUGGGACGGGGACACGGCCCAGACUCCUACGAGAGGCAGCAGUAGGGAAUCUUCGGCAAUGGACGAAAGUCUGACCGUGCAACGCCGCGUGAGUGAAGAAGGUUGUCGGGUCGUAAAGCUCUGUUGUAAGAGAAGAACGGGUGGGAGAGUGGAAAGUUCACACUGUGACGGUAUCUGAACAGAAAGGGACGGCUAACUACGUG